UCCAAAAGCAGACGUGCAGAACACUGCUCCUCUUUUUGAAUCUUGGAUUACAAGCUGAGAAGACUCCAUAAAGCUAAAAGGGAAAUAACAAGGUGCGCGGGGCUUGUUGAGAGCCAUUCCUGGUUAAAUGAAGCAUCCUUUUCUUUCCCUGCUGCAGAGACUUGUAAGAAAAGAAGACUUCCUCAUGAUCUCUGCUUAUCAUCCCUGAAACAUUCGUUCCCUUUUCAGGUGAGUAUAGUACUUUGCUUUGAUCCACUCUGAGCAGAGCUAUUGAUUCUCUGAAAACCUGCGUCAUUAAGGCAUUAAGACAAAGAACCUUUUUGCUAUCUGCCAAAGUAAAAAAAAAAAAAUCAUUAAAAUAUUGACAGGAAGAAGUCUCUGACUGUCCAAGAUCGCUGCCAGGACCAGCGUGCCAGGGAUGGUCAGCUGCUGUUCCAAAGGAUUGCAGGAUGCACCUUCUAGAGUCUUAUACAAGUUACUGUUUGUUGUAUGCUGUGUUUUGUUUAUCAGCAAAUUUUACAGAUAUUUAAAAGUCCGUCUGUUAUGCAUUUUGAUUUGAUGACAAUUUUUAAAAUGUGCUGACACUUCCCUGAGCUUUGUUCUAGAGUUGGGGUGUAAUAUGAUUGCUGGGGUCCA
Molecule: long non-coding RNA, 636 nt
Organism: Ochotona curzoniae (black-lipped pika)
Lineage: Eukaryota; Metazoa; Chordata; Mammalia; Lagomorpha; Ochotonidae
Exons: 3
Source: RefSeq, a predicted model, not a curated record